AAACUAACAAGGAUUCCCCUAGUAGCGGCGAGCGAAGCGGGAAAAGCUCAAAUUUGUAAUCUGGCGCCUUCGGCGUCCGAGUUGUAAUCUCGAGAAGUGUUUUCCGUGAUAGACCGCAUACAAGUCUCUUGGAACAGAGCGUCAUAGUGGUGAGAACCCAGUACACGAUGCGGAUGCCUAUUACUUUGUGAUACACUUUCGAAGAGUCGAGUUGUUUGGGAAUGCAGCUCAAAUUGGGUGGUAAAUUCCAUCUAAAGCUAAAUAUUGGCGAGAGACCGAUAGCGAACAAGUACCGUGAGGGAAAGAUGAAAAGCACUUUGGAAAGAGAGUUAACAGUACGUGAAAUUGUUGGAAGGGAAACACAUGCAGUGAUACUUGCUAUUCGGGGCAACUCGAUUGGCAGGCCCGCAUCAGUUUUUCGGGGCGGAAAAUCAUAGAGAGAAGGUAGCAGUCUCGGCUGUGUUAUAGCUCUUUAUUGGAUUCGCCCUGGGGGACUGAGGAACGCAGCGUGC
This 512-nucleotide ribosomal RNA is filed under the name Sporobolomyces carnicolor. RNAcentral describes it as "LSU rRNA". It matches the Rfam family "Eukaryotic large subunit ribosomal RNA", at positions 62 to 603 of the family's 3401-position model. Lineage: Eukaryota; Fungi; Basidiomycota; Microbotryomycetes; Sporidiobolales; Sporidiobolaceae. The record is from RNAcentral.